This 504-nucleotide ribosomal RNA is filed under the name uncultured bacterium. Its description in RNAcentral is "partial 16S ribosomal RNA". It matches the Rfam family "Bacterial small subunit ribosomal RNA", at positions 29 to 523 of the family's 1533-position model. The record is from RNAcentral.
AUUGAACGCUGGCGGCAGGCCUAACACAUGCAAGUCGGACGGUAGCACAGAGAGCUUGCUCUUGGGUGACGAGUGGCGGACGGGUGAGUAAUGUCUGGGGAUCUGCCCGAUAGAGGGGGAUAACCACUGGAAACGGUGGCUAAUACCGCAUAACGUCGCAAGACCAAAGAGGGGGACCUUCGGGCCUCUCACUAUCGGAUGAACCCAGAUGGGAUUAGCUAGUAGGCGGGGUAAUGGCCCACCUAGGCGACGAUCCCUAGCUGGUCUGAGAGGAAGACCAGCCACACUGGAACUGAGACACGGUCCAGACUCCUACGGGAGGCAGCAGUGGGGAAUAUUGCACAAUGGGCGCAAGCCUGAUGCAGCCAUGCCGCGUGUAUGAAGAAGGCCUUCGGGUUGUAAAGUACUUUCAGCGGGGAGGAAGGCGGUGCGGUUAAUAACCGCGUCGAUUGACGUUACCCGCAGAAGAAGCACCGGCUAACUCCGUGCCAGCCGCCACUGUAA